UUAACCUUUAGAUUUUUGAAAAUUAUUUAUUGCUUAUGUGAAAUAUAGGUAUGUUUCCAAAACCGUACCCCCAAGUAAAUGCUUAAAGUUCAGUCCAAGCCUCCCGGCAAGAAGAUGCAUCCCCUGGCCAAAAGAUAACAGUACUCCCAAGGGCAGAAGACAGCGCCUAUGAAUGGACUACCCGCGCGACCCAACUGGAAAUCACAAUUUGGGAACCACUAGGCUACUACUUUAGGGUCGGCGAUGCCGUGAUGGUUUCAGGAGGCAUGGUCUCAAUGGUGUUGACAACAUGAUUCUGCUGCGAGGAUAUCAUCUCUGAACUAAACAUGUAACGACCAGAAACCAGGGUGCAUUCUGCUCGGUGCAAGGAGAGGACGUAGGUCUCGGAUACUCCACGAGGGACUAGAUCCGAUUAUCGGGACAUUUUCACAGACAGUCAAGACGGGCUUGUUUUGGAGCUGUCAAUCUUCCGGUGGAAACCACAUGAGUCACUCAGAGCGACAAUCACAAUGUUUACAGGGAGAAAAACAGCAUGUUCCAUGAAUAAUGAAAUUAUGAAUGAUGAAAUGUAAUCUGAGCAGCAAUGGGAGGAAAGGGCCUCUUCUCUCUGAUGUAAUUCUACAGCAGCACAGUGUAUGAGAAUCUAGAUACUGUUGAAUCAUCGGGGGUCAUUAUUGUCAUUCAAAUGGCCAUGUUACACCAUGUCAGAGGGCUUACUACAGCCUCUAUUUAAGCCUUUUUAAUGGCUCAGCACAGCAGUCCCUAUGUUCUGGAGAACUGUGGGGGGUUUUCUAGCCUGGAACACCAUGUGGAUCCGUCAGCCUGUCACACACACAUCAUUAUGAGGCCAUGAACGAUGACAGGUGAACAACACAUUAUGUUAAUAUAAAGGCUUUGGUUUGGGGUACAUUGGUGGUGGAGUUUACCUUGUGAUCUUCUUUGGUCAGCACUACUUUACGAAUAGGACCGUCUCCUUGGGUCUUCUUCAGUACAUGUGUUUCCUGAGGGAGAGAUCAAACAGGCAAAUAAAUAAUCAGUGAUAAUCAAUCAGUGAAAAAAAAUACCUUAACUAUAAUGAAUAUCAAUUAAUAUAUUAUCCCUAGUGUUGGCUCCAACAGACCACUCACAUGCCCACUGGAGAUGGGCAUGUGGUCGUUGUGGCCCACAUCAAGUGCCUCCACAGCCUUUAACAGUUUGAGGAAAUCUCUCUACUACCUGUGCAUCUGGAAAGCAACUGCACUUUCCUGUCAACCUGCUGGCUGCUGCACAAAUCACGAUGACUCAUUCUCACCCCUCUUGUUAAUUAGGCAGAAUGAAACACAUAAUUAAAGGGUAAUUGACAGGGAAAUUGAUGAAGUAAAUUGUUUCACCCAGGCAGAGUUUUAAGCAAGGUUGGGGUAAAUUCCAUUUAAAUUCCAGUCUAUUCAGAAAGUGAACCAAAUUCAAAUUUCAAAUGUCCCUCAUUGAAAAGCAUUGAAGAGAAUUGGAAUUGGAAUGUCAGAUUACUUCCUGAAUUGACUGAAAUUUAACUUGACCUCAACCCAGGAUUUAAGUAGAAAGUAUUCUGCCAAAUUCACCUGGAAUUCCAAAUGUUAGAGGAUUAGUUCGAUAUUAGUUGCUGAGCUGUCAGCAGAACCACAGCCAUGAUAGGAGAGUAUUGCAUGUAUGUAUAAAUAUUUCUGCGUAACAAUACGGACAUUCUGCUGUGGAAAUUGUGAAUGGCCAUUGAAUCUCUGUCGCAAUAGCAUUUUACAGUAGCCUAUUUUUUGUGUGCUCGAGUCACAGAAUUAGCUGUGGACAGAUCUCUUUUCACUGGAACAGAGGAAAACGCUCAGGGUAGCUGAUAGCAGCUAUGGAUUUAGUCCAUCCUAGACCUCUAAUACUUGUGAGAGGCUGGUUUUAGUCCGUCUGUAAGAUUUAGUCUGUCCUAGACCACUGAUUCUCAUCCUAUUCGGACUUAGAGACAAUGGAACAGCUUUGGCCUUGUAUUCCUGAUAUGGGGGGUACUCCCGGGGCCAUAUGUGUACAAAUGGACUUACUUUACUUUAUAAAUAUCUGACUAUAUUUAACUAUGCUGGAUGUUCUUCUUCCUCUAUUUUGGUCGCAGCAUGAAAUGCAGAAGAAAACAAUAAUUACUCAGAAUGUAAGCAAUUUAUGUUUAUUUCUGUUUCAUGAUGUGAUUUGUGAAAUUAAUGCAGUCAUUUUAUUGGGAUGGGUCCUACACAGGCAGUCCAAUUCUGAUAUUUUUCCCAAUUAUUGGCAAAAGAGCUGACCUAAUUGGUCAAAAUACCAAUUAGUGGAAAAUAUCAGAAUUAGGCUGCGUGUGUAAACAUAGCCAUAGUCUUUUUCAUGGGCUGAACUGAUGACACACACUUCCACUGUCCGUCUCAGCCCCUCAGAACCUUAGCUCCGAAUAAUAUACCUGUGGAGCUAAUAAAUCCAUACAACUGUUUGUUAAACGGACCGAUGCCAGUUAGAACGCUCUAGAUAUUAU
Molecule: long non-coding RNA, 2494 nt
Organism: Oncorhynchus tshawytscha (Chinook salmon)
Lineage: Eukaryota; Metazoa; Chordata; Actinopteri; Salmoniformes; Salmonidae
Exons: 3
Source: RefSeq, a predicted model, not a curated record